Molecule: ribosomal RNA, 229 nt
Filed under: uncultured bacterium
Lineage: Bacteria
Description: partial 16S ribosomal RNA
Rfam family: Bacterial small subunit ribosomal RNA
Source: RNAcentral
CAUGUAGGCGGGGAUAUAAGUCAGAUGUGAAAUCCUGUGGCUCAACCACAGACGUGCAUCUGAAACUAUAUCUCUUGAGUAUUGGAGAGGAAAGUGGAAUUCCUAGUGUAGCGGUGAAAUGCGUAGAUAUUAGGAGGAACACCGGUGGCGAAGGCGACUUUCUGGACAAUUACUGACGCUGAGAUGCGAAAGCGUGGGGAGCAAACAGGAUUAGAUACCCUGGUAGUCC